This is a non-coding RNA of Gopherus evgoodei (Goodes thornscrub tortoise), 678 nucleotides long. The record is from the annotation of a RefSeq genome assembly. NCBI's taxonomy places the organism in Eukaryota, Metazoa, Chordata, Testudines, Testudinidae.
UGAGUUUUAGCCAUAACUCUACUUAUCUUAAAUUAGCAUAUGCAGCCAGCAAAACCUCUUCCCGUGUUAACUAAAUGAGUCACUUUCUGUCCCCAGAUGUACCUCUCUGUCCACCCCAACACAACAGUCACAUUUCUCAUAGAUGCAGGAUCAAGCAAUACCUGUAAAAUGUUACUACUUCAGGUUGUUAUCUUGGCUUUGGUUUUGUCUUAUGGUGGAAGUGCACAAAUACAUCUGAGACAAGCUAAGUUCUCCAUUACCAGGGCAGAAGAUAAAACUGCACAUAUAGACUGUGAAGCUUCUGGCAUUCAGAACUUCGGGAAUGCUGUUAUACACUGGUAUCGACACAGUCCUGGAGAAGCUCCGGCGUGGUUACUAUACUUUAAGACACGAGCUGAUAAAUCAAGUUUUGACAAGAAGUUUAGGGUUGACAAGACAACUGAAAAGUUCACCUGUACUCUAAGAGUAGACAAACUAACCUACAAUGAUGCAGCUACCUAUUACUGUGCCUACUGGGAUCGCACAGUGUUAGAACGCCAUAGACAGGCUGUACAAAAACCUCAAUCUAUUCUGAGCCACAAACUUUCAAAAGUGUACCAAAAAAAGAAACCCAACACACCUAGUUGCCUUUUUAAUCUUAAUCAACAGAAGGCACAAGUAGAUACUCAUUUUCUCUGA